AGUGGCGAGCUAGAGAGAGAGGAGGAAAGGGCUGCCAUUUUCUAGAGAGAAGGAAGAAGAGAAAAAGAAAAAGAAAGAGAAGGGGAAGAAGAAGAGGGUUUCGAAACCCUAGGUAAGUUCUAACCUAUUGGUGUUUAGCUAGAGAGAGAGAGGAGGAAAGGGCUGCCAUUUUCUAGAGAGAGGGAAGAAGAGAAAAAGAAAAAGAAAGAGAAGGAGAAGAAGAAGAGGGUUUCGAAACCCUAGGUGACAAGGUUUUUCUUGCUAAGAGUAUUCUUGAUUCAACAAUCAAGAGAGGUAGCAAAUAGGUUUCUCCAUGGCACUCGUGGUGAUGUGGGAAGUUCUAUCGUCCUGAUGUGUAUGGCGUGGGGCAUCCUAUGGACGAAAAACGAUCACUAAAAGACACCAUCUUAAUAAUGUUAUGUUUUAUGAGACUUUUUAAACUUAUCAAUGGGACUUAAGUUAUUGGUUGCUUUUUUUUUUUUGGAACUUCGCAUAAAAACUCAUAUUUUCUUUUAAAACUAUUGGGCCCAUCUUGCAUGUUUUAAGCAAGAACCCACUGAAACCUUUAUAAUAAGUGGCUUUCCUUUAAAAACCAACGAAAUGUGAAUGUUUCAUUAAGUACUAGUUUAGGGCAUUCUUUACAAAUGGUAUCAGAGCCGGUCGUCCAUGUUUCCAAGGACCCUCCUCAUACACACUAAAGACGGGAAAAUCCACCUCACCUCACCGCGUCGUAAGUAUUUGUUUAUUACUUGUUUUCGUUUUAUUUUAUUUUGUAUAGUUUCGUAACCGCAGUAGUAGAAAUGCCUCCUGUGUUGAGAACGACAAAGAAACAAUUACUUAAGUAGAUCCGCGCGUUUCCAAGGGUUGAGCUUGACGAGGACCCUUAUGAUUGGCGCAUGGCAGCCUUAAAGAUGAUAAAGGAGGUCUACGAUCGUAUCCAAGGAAUAAUGAAUAAGAGGGGAGCCUUGCUUUGGCCCAUAAAGCAAUUUUGGGUGAUGAGUGAAGCUUUGUCGAUGUACCCAGAGGCUCUUCAACAGUUAAAUCAAUCAUGGAAUGAUGUUGUGCUAGAUGACAUGGAGUUUAGCACCAUGGGGUUUACGAUUUGCGACUUUCUGGUAAGUUAUGACCUUAGUCGUCAGGAGCUGGUAUUAGUAAAGACAGAUGAUGGUGAAAUAGAGGAGCAUUUAGAGACGGUGCAUGACAUGGAAGGAGAAUCGGCAGUUGAGGAAGUACUACAAGCUAUACCGCGUCUGACUGCGAGGAUGGAGAUUAUGGCAAGCGCGCCUAACUAUUUCCACAUUCCAGAGGAUAUCUUUGACUAUAAUUCAGGGGACGAGUCCACCGUUGAGGACUAGAGUCCAUUUCGUAAUUGUCGCAUGG
This is an RNA transcript of Humulus lupulus (European hop), 1380 nucleotides long. RefSeq lists it as uncharacterized. The record is from RefSeq and is a predicted model, not a curated record. The transcript is spliced from 3 exons. NCBI's taxonomy places the organism in Eukaryota, Viridiplantae, Streptophyta, Magnoliopsida, Rosales, Cannabaceae.